This is a non-coding RNA of Drosophila virilis, 447 nucleotides long. NCBI's taxonomy places the organism in Eukaryota, Metazoa, Arthropoda, Insecta, Diptera, Drosophilidae. The record is from RefSeq and is a predicted model, not a curated record.
ACAAAUAUAACUGAUAAGCGGCCAACCAUGCUGUGCGUAUUUUAUCAAAGAUUCAAAUUCAUGUUGUAUGCCAUAAGUCCAUACGCCUCUGAAUGGAAGCAAACCGGCCCAACCCAAACCAAGUGAAGCCAAUAGGACCAGCCCAGGAGUGGCCAAGGGUCCCUCUGACUGCUGUGCCCUCUUAUUACUGGGAUUGCCUUUUGCCAAGGACAUCGCCAGUUUGUGCCAUGGCUGCCCGCUAGGCAAGCAAUCGCAGUUUUAAUAACCUCUACACGAGAUGAUUGGGGAGACUGCCGGGCGGGAUGUAGCCUUACACAUGCUACAUACGUUUAUUUUGGUUGAGUUUCACUUAACAGGCACGGAAUUAAAUGACAUUUUUGUUUUCCUUUUUCCCAAGUGACAAAUAAAAAUCCAUUAUGCCAUUAGAAGUGGCAUCUAUCAAAAAUA